AUGGCCGGUGGUUUGGAUUGGAACGUUGCCGCGGUAAUAACCAUUGUUGGCUGGCUGGUGUCGCCCAUCAUCGGCUUUCUCCUGCCCAAGAUCCUCUCCAGGAUUGGGUUUGAGGUGGGCUUGGAGCAGAAGAUCCAGCAUGACCUAGAGUACCGCAUCAUCCCGGAUCUGGAGAAGACGCUGCACGCUGUAGAUACGGAGAGGCUGAUGAAGAGACGGGAAAAAGCGAUGUCCGUUGUGGACAAGCUGGACAAGAUGGCCGCUGGGCUGAGGGAAGCUCGAGAUGAUGCGGAUGACAUCCUCGAUGAUGCUCCGCACAAGAUCGUCGUGGGCGACAUCCUCUACUGGCGGUGCCUGGGGAUUGCACGCAUUAUCCAGAAAGGAUCGGCUCGCCUGCAGAGCCUUUUGUGCCGGUUCCUAGGCAGGCCUGAUCUGGAGACGCUGAAGGCCGACCUGAAGAAGAUUUCAUCGGAGCUGCACGCGCUGCUGACCGACGACGACGAGGCUUUCUACCGACUGAGCCAGGUAGACAGGAUGAGGAUGAUACCAAAGACCUUGCGGGGCAACAUGAUGAAAAUGAUACCGCAGCUCGUGAGGCUGCGGCCAGAAGAGACCGCAGCUAUGGAAUGUGGUUUUCUUAACAUGAUGAAUGCAUGGCUGGUUCCAGCCCAGGAGGAAGAGGACGGCAUCGAUGUUGCUCAGGAGGAAGGGGAAGGCAUCGAUGAUGCUCAGCCGGAGGAGGAAGGCAUCGAGGAGGAAGACAUCGAUGAUGCUCAAUUGGAAGAGGAAGACAUCGAUGGUGCUCAGUUGGAAGAGGAAGACAUCUAUGAUGCUCAAGAGGAAGGGGAAGGCAUCGAUGAUGCUCAGUUGGAAGAGGAAGACACCUGUGAUGCUCAGAAGGAAGGGGAAGACAUCGAUGAUGCUCAGUUGGAAGAGGAAGACAUCUAUGAUGCUNNNNNNNNNNNNNNNNNNNNNNNNNNNNNNNNNNNNNNNNNNNNNNNNAUCGAUGAUGCUCAUGUGGAGGAGGAAGAGAUCGAUGAUGCUCAUGUGGAGGAGGAAGAGGUCGAUCAUGCCCAUGUGGAUGAGGAAGACAUCCAUGAUGCUCAGCCGGAGGAAUGGGAAGGCAUCGAUGAUGCUCAGCCGGAGGAAGGGGAAGGCAUCGAUGAUGCUCAGGAGGAAGGGGAAGGCAUCGAUGGUGCUCGGGCGGAAGACAAUGUUGAUGAUUACACCAAUUGUUUUGAUAAGAUGGUCGAAUUGCUGAGGCGAGCUGAGGAGGAAGACAUCCACGAUGCUCAGCACGACAUCGGGUCCCACGCCAGCAGCUGGCCGCAUCAUCUGUACGGUGCCGUGGAGGCCUGCAUAGCUCGCCGCAAAAGGAGCUGCAUAGGGAUUGCCCGGAGCAGGUCGUCGUCUCGGCUACUGCAGUGGGCACAGAAUUUUUCUCGAUGGUUCCUACGCAGGUCAGAGUACGGUGCACUACCGACAACGACUAUGGAUACUGCAGCACCCUCGGAUUCCUUGGGCAUAUUCAAGACUUGUUGUAUACCACUGUUCCACUUGUUAGUUCAUGUGUAUGAGGUUGCCUGCACUCAUCGAGAUCGGUCCUAUCGUCAGGUGUUUGGCAUCACAAGUAAUUACCAGGAGCAUGCCAACCUGUUAGAUUUUGUCCUUACUGCAAUCUCAAGGCGGAACUUGAGCAAAAGAAAACAGAGAGUAGAAAGAAGCAUCAGUGAAGUGAACGCGUCACCACUGUUAGUUGGGGCAAGCAAGAGCACACUGGAACAGAUUGCCAAUAAGAAUAGGAGUGGAAUUAGAACUGCUACCAAGCGCAAGGUAUUUGGUCUAGAGGACUUGCGUGAUGAUAUAAUAGGAAGGCUCCGUGAGACACCAAACUCGACUAGUACCAGUUCAUGUUACUCUGUGAUUGGCAUAUAUGGUGUUGCAGGGUCUGGGAAGACUACCCUUGCACGAUAUAUUCGAGAUUGCAUAAAGUGCACGGAACUUUUUGACACCAUCAUGUGCCUUCACGUGUCCGAAGCUUUCAGCGUGGAUGCUAUAUUUAAUGAAAUGCUGAAGGAUAUUACCAAAAAUCGGCACUCCUAUAUUUCAGAUCGUGAGGAGCUGGAAGAGAAGCUGAAGAAAUCAUUGCGUGGCAAACGUUUCUUCUUGAUAUUGGAUGAUCUCUGGGUGAAGAACAAGAAUGACCCACAGCUGGUAGAAGUAAUCUCUCCGCUCAGUGUUGGGAUGAAAGGAAGCAAAAUCCUGGUGACGGCUCGAACAAAAGAUGCAGCCAGAGCUCUGUGUGCUGAUGAGCCUAUUAAAAUGCCUGAUUUGGAUGAGGAACAAUACUUUGAGAUGUUUAUGCAUUAUGCAUUGGGUGGAAAAAGUGUUGAUGUUAAAAAAUUUGAACCAGUUGGAAGAGAGAUUGCAAAUAAGCUCCGCCGAUCACCUAUCGCAGCAGCAAUAGUGGCGGGACAGCUUGGGACAAACCCAAGUAUUUUGUUUUGGGAAAAUACUUUAGAGCUUGACAUGUUGAAUGAUACCAUGGAUGCACUUUGGUGGAGCUAUCAGCAGCUUAACCAGGACAUCAGGCGAUGCUUAGAGUACUGCAAUAUUUUCCCCAACAGAUUUAAAAUGGAAAAAAACAUCUUAGUUCACCUCUGGAUAGCGGAAGGGUUGGUGACCGGUUCUGCAAGAGAGGACAUGGAACGUGUAGCUGAGGACUACAUUCAAGGGUUAGUGUCACAUUCCUUUCUGGAAGCAGAAGGAACAGAUUUGUUUUCAGUUCAUGAUCUGUUGCGUGAUUUACUAGACAAGGUUGCUGGAUGUGAUUACUAUAAAAUAUUAAAUGCAAGGAGCCAGAGCGGAGAAAGCUGCAAUGGAGUUGUCAAUCCAGAUGUUCGUCAUCUUUUUGUUCAGAGUUAUGAUGCAGAAUUGAUUACCAAGAAGAUCCUUGGGUUGGAGAAUUUACGCACUCUCAUUAUUGAUUUUGCUGGAAGUGAUGUCGAGGAAAAACUCAUUGAGAGUUUAUGCAAGAGGCUGUCAAAAUUAAGGGUGCUGGCCAUUGCCUUGAGUAAUCGAGACCAUGGUGUAAUCAACUACACCAAGAAGUUCUUGUUCCCAGAAUCUAUUAGACAGUUGAAGCACCUACGCUAUCUUGCCUUCAGAACACUGCACAUGGGGAUGGUCGUUUUACCGAGUGCACUAACUAAGCUAGACCAUAUCCAACUGCUAGAUUUUGGUGACAAUGUAAUUGAAUUUCCUUCUACUGGUGUUAUCAAGUUGCGGCACAUAAUCUGCAGGUAUGACGCGAAAGUUCCUAACAUAGGCAGGUUCAAAUCACUCCAAACAUUGCAAAACUUCCAAGUGAGGAAUGAAGAAGGUUAUGAGGUAAAGCAGCUGAUGGACCUAGACAAGCUUUGCGGUAGUUUGGCGAUCCAUGGCCUUGAAAAUGUAAAAAGCAAAAGGGAAGCUCUUGAAGCCAAUCUAGCUACCAAGAAAUGGCUCAAGGAACUGAAACUAUUUUGGACUGGUGGUUGUACGAGGCGCAGUCCAGAAGUUGAAGAAGAGGUACUUGAGGGCUUGUGCACUUCCGUUGAGCUUGAACGACUUGAGAUAUUUGGAUAUGAAGGCUCAAAGUACCCUGAUUGGAUGGUGGUGAGUAACCAGAGAGGUGACCAAAAGAAACUGCAACGACUAAUGUUCGUGGGAUGCAGCAAUCCAGUAUCAGCUGGUCCUCCUGCACUUGAGGCUUUCCCUCGUCUCCGUUCUUUAUUUAUCUUGCAUUGCAGCUGGGACUCCUUACCAGGCAAUUUGGAGCACCUCACAUCACUCAAGACACUGCUUAUCUUGAACUGCAAAAAUUUAUUGUCGCUCCCAACACUUCCUCAGCAUCUUGAGGAGAUUAUUAUUGAACUAUGCGAUGAGGGGUUCAUGGAGUCUUGUGUGACAGUGGGACAUCCAAACUGGCAAAAGAUUCAGCACAUCCCCAAUAUACACAUCCCCAAUUAA
Molecule: ribosomal RNA, 4011 nt
Filed under: Triticum aestivum (bread wheat)
Lineage: Eukaryota; Viridiplantae; Streptophyta; Magnoliopsida; Poales; Poaceae
Description: partial small subunit ribosomal RNA
Source: RNAcentral